UAGCCAUGUCCAACGGCAACAGCAGCAGUAAUAGUGCUUCGGAUGAGUUGGAUGACACUGCACAGGCCUGGAACACACACACCAUCAGGCCAUCGAAAAACCUUAACGUCCCCAAGGGGUUAAAAAACGACAACACACGCUAUUCAUGUUUUUGUUGAGAAUGGAAGAUUUUUUAUUACUGCAACUAUAUUGCUAUCCCGUAUGUGGAACUCUGAAUAAACAAAAAAUUGAAAAACAAGUUUGGUGCUGUUUCCUGAUAUUUUUAGUCCAUAUUUUUCACUGGCCACAUUAGCUAGAUGAAAAACUUAAUGAAUUAAUAAUUGUACUUGUUCAAGAACAAUUUACUUAAUUAUUCUUGUAAUCAGACUAGUAUUACUUUUCAUACCAUGAAAAGUUCCUGCAGUCUUCUUAAUGUCACAUGAUGUUGCUGUGGUGUCAAGACAGCUGAUUGUAUACAGCAGGGGGUGCGGUCGUCCUGCCGGUUCAAGUAGGAUGACCUGAAACCUGUAUAAAAUCAGCUGUCUUGACACCACAGCAACAUCAUGUGACAUUUAGAAGAAGACUGCAGGAAAAUUAACAAUCAAAACAUGUCAGGGUAUGAAAAGUAAUACUAGUUGUAUAUUAUGUACACUAUCUAUUAUUAUCUACACUAGUAGUUUUUUUCGUCGUCUGAGACGUCUCGCCCUUCCUGACACUCCUCUGGGAUCGAGCUCUUUCAACAACAACCGCACAUCCUCUUUCCUCACACGCAGUCCAUGCUCCCUGCAUUUAGCGUACAUCCAUCGGUGUCCAGAGUACUGCAGUUGGUCGCUAAUAAUAUCCACCAGGACCGACAGGUCAGAGUACGCCUUGCGGCGAGAGUGUCCCCUAUCUCGCAGUAUCCUCUUCAGAUGUCUCUCACUUAUGUGGAAGGCGUGCCUACUGGCAAGUAUUGAUUUGAUGUCCGAAUAUUUGAGGCCAAGCUCAAAAUAAACAUUGAUAAAUCCCCCAAACUCCAUCGUUGUGGUUGUUAGUUUUUUCCUCUGACCCGGAAGUUGAUUUGCGAUGUCUCGCAGUAAUGGUACGGGGCUCCGUACCAUUACUGCUGCGGUUGCCGUUGGACAUGGCUAAAUCUGUUUUGCCUUCCCGCGUGAGAGUCAGGUAUCUAACGAGAAUGACGCGACC
Molecule: long non-coding RNA, 1164 nt
Organism: Gadus macrocephalus (Pacific cod)
Lineage: Eukaryota; Metazoa; Chordata; Actinopteri; Gadiformes; Gadidae
Exons: 3
Source: RefSeq, a predicted model, not a curated record